RNAcentral lists this non-coding RNA (31 nucleotides) under Mus musculus (house mouse). Lineage: Eukaryota; Metazoa; Chordata; Mammalia; Rodentia; Muridae. The record is from RNAcentral.
UACAAAUACAAAGUUUGGUGUUACAAAUUGU